CCUACGGGGUGCUGCAGUGAGGAAUAUUGGUCAAUGGCCGAGAGGCUGAACCAGCCAAGUCGCGUGAGGGAAGACGGCCCUACGGGUUGUAACCCUCUUUUGUCGGGGAGCAAAGCGAACCACGUGUGGUUCAUUGAGAGUACCCGAAGAAAAAGCAUCGGCUAACUCCGUGCCAGCAGCCGCGGUAAUACGGGGGAUGCGAGCGUUAUCCGGAUUUAUUGGGGUUAAAGGGUGCGCAGGCGGAGGUGCAAGUCAGCGGUAAAAUUGCGGGGCUCAACCCCGUACUGCCGUUGAAACUGCAUGCCUUGAGUGAGCGAGAGGUAGGCGGAAUGUGUGGUGUAGCGGUGAAAUGCAUAGAUAUCACGCAGAACUCCGAUUGCGAAGGCAGCAUACCGGCGCGCAACUGACGCUCAUGCACGAAAGCGUGGGUAUCGAACAGGAUUAGAUACCCUAGUAGUC
This 459-nucleotide ribosomal RNA is filed under the name uncultured bacterium. RNAcentral's name for it is "partial 16S ribosomal RNA". It matches the Rfam family "Bacterial small subunit ribosomal RNA", at positions 338 to 795 of the family's 1533-position model. The record is from RNAcentral.